RNAcentral lists this transfer RNA (72 nucleotides) under Dalcantha dilatata. RNAcentral's name for it is "tRNA-Ile". The record is from RNAcentral. Lineage: Eukaryota; Metazoa; Arthropoda; Insecta; Hemiptera; Tessaratomidae.
UAUAAGAUGCCUGAAAGAAAAGGACUAUUUUGAUAGAAUAGAUCAUGUAUAUAUUAUAUAUUACUCUUAUAA